Molecule: ribosomal RNA, 258 nt
Filed under: uncultured marine eukaryote
Lineage: Eukaryota
Description: partial small subunit ribosomal RNA
Rfam family: Eukaryotic small subunit ribosomal RNA
Source: RNAcentral
ACUCAACACGGGGAAACUUACCAGGUCCAGACAUAGUAAGGAUUGACAGAUUGAGAGCUCUUUCUUGAUUCUAUGGGUGGUGGUGCAUGGCCGUUCUUACUUGGUGGAGUGAUUUGUCUGGUUAAUUCCGUUAACGAACGAGACCUCCGCCUGCUAAAUAGUCACGCGGUGCUUUGUGCACCCGCGGGAGUACUUCUUAGAGGGACUAUCGGCGUUUAGUCGAUGGAAGUUGGAGGCAAUAACAGGUCUGUGAUGCCC